This is a ribosomal RNA of Danio rerio (zebrafish), 117 nucleotides long. Lineage: Eukaryota; Metazoa; Chordata; Actinopteri; Cypriniformes; Danionidae. The record is from Ensembl.
AGGCACAGCCAUAUCAUCCUGUAUUCCAAGACCAGUAACUCGCUAAAUCCAAGCAGGGCUAAGCCUGGUGAUUACCUGGAUGGGAGACCACAUGGGAAAGCUAGGUUGCUGUUGCAA